RNAcentral lists this long non-coding RNA (652 nucleotides) under Brassica napus (rape). RNAcentral describes it as "long non-coding RNA (BNAP_LNC005827)". The record is from RNAcentral. Lineage: Eukaryota; Viridiplantae; Streptophyta; Magnoliopsida; Brassicales; Brassicaceae.
AAAUAAGUUUUAUUAAAUGGUAGAAAUGUAUUUUUAUCCUAUGGUUAACUAAUCUAGACUUAGGGUUUAGAGUUAAGGGGUGAGGUUUUGGGGAAUAGCUUCAAAUUUUUUAAAAAUAAAAAAUAAAUAUUAAAAAUUUCAAAAUAAAAAGGGGCUAUUUUGGUCAUUUUCUUUCUUGAGUGAUAUUUUGUGACAAAAACUUAAAAAUAGCUAUUUGAGAGAAUUGUCCUAUAAUGUUUCUUAGUAAUUGGGUUUGGACCAACAUUUUUUUCAAUUGAUUUUUAAGCUACCACGUAAGCUAAAUUGUCAUUAUAAUUAAAUAAACAUGGUCUCUUUUUAAUUAGUAUAAACUUAAGGUUAUAGAUCGUCAAUUAAUAUUUAUGGUUUACCCUAUAUAUUAAUUGAGGAAUAUUUGAAAAUGUGUAACCUCAAUUUUGUAAUAAUUAAAAAUUACCCCUUGUUUAUGUCUCAAUCAAUUAGGUAGUUAAUUAGUCCUACGUGUCAGCCUCAUAAUGAAAUUGAAAAACAUGUUGGUCCAAUUCGAUUUGUAUAUCUCACUAGAAACAUUUAAUAUCAACUAUAUGAUAUCAUAUGAUGUUAACUAAAGCAAGAUGGCUAUUUAGUAUAUAUUAUUUCGUUAAAUAAAACCUAC